Molecule: ribosomal RNA, 705 nt
Filed under: Alcaligenes sp.
Lineage: Bacteria; Pseudomonadati; Pseudomonadota; Betaproteobacteria; Burkholderiales; Alcaligenaceae
Description: bacterial SSU rRNA
Rfam family: Bacterial small subunit ribosomal RNA
Source: RNAcentral
CAGCGGGGAGCUUUACACAUGCAAGUCGAACGGCAGCACGAGAGAGCUUGCUCUCUUGGUGGCGAGUGGCGGACGGGUGAGUAAUAUAUCGGAACGUGCCCAGUAGCGGGGGAUAACUACUCGAAAGAGUGGCUAAUACCGCAUACGCCCUACGGGGGAAAGGGGGGGAUUCUUCGGAACCUCUCACUAUUGGAGCGGCCGAUAUCGGAUUAGCUAGUUGGUGGGGUAAAGGCUCACCAAGGCAACGAUCCGUAGCUGGUUUGAGAGGACGACCAGCCACACUGGGACUGAGACACGGCCCAGACUCCUACGGGAGGCAGCAGUGGGGAAUUUUGGACAAUGGGGGAAACCCUGAUCCAGCCAUCCCGCGUGUAUGAUGAAGGCCUUCGGGUUGUAAAGUACUUUUGGCAGAGAAGAAAAGGUAUCCCCUAAUACGGGAUACUGCUGACGGUAUCUGCAGAAUAAGCACCGGCUAACUACGUGCCAGCAGCCGCGGUAAUACGUAGGGUGCAAGCGUUAAUCGGAAUUACUGGGCGUAAAGCGUGUGUAGGCGGUUCGGAAAGAAAGAUGUGAAAUCCCAGGGCUCAACCUUGGAACUGCAUUUUUAACUGCCGAGCUAGAGUAUGUCAGAGGGGGGUAGAAUUCCACGUGUAGCAGUGAAAUGCGUAGAUAUGUGGAGGAAUACCGAUGGCGAAGGCAGCCCCC